GAGGGUAUAGCUCAAGUGGUAGAGUGCCUGCUUAGCAUGCAUGAGGUCCUGGAUUCAACCCCCAGUACCUCCU
This 73-nucleotide transfer RNA is filed under the name Camelus dromedarius (Arabian camel). It matches the Rfam family "tRNA". Rfam says of the family: Transfer RNA (tRNA) molecules are approximately 80 nucleotides in length. The record is from Rfam by way of RNAcentral. RNAcentral also lists the same sequence under 1 other name. Lineage: Eukaryota; Metazoa; Chordata; Mammalia; Artiodactyla; Camelidae.